AGUGAACGCUGGCGGUAGGCCUAACACAUGCAAGUCGAACGGCAGCACCGUAAGAGCUUGCUCUUACGGGUGGCGAGUGGCGGACGGGUGAGGAAUACAUCGGAAUCUACUUUUUCGUGGGGGAUAACGUCGGGAAACUUACGCUAAUACCGCAUACGACCUACGUGUGAAAGCAGGGGAUCUUCGGACCUUGCGCGAUUGAAUGAGCCGAUGUCGGAUUAGCUAGUUGGCGGGGUAAAGGCCCAACAAGGCGACGAUCCGUAGCUGGUCUGAGAGGAUGAUCAGCCACACUGGAACUGAGACACGGUCCAGACUCCUACGGGAGGCAGCAGUGGGGAAUAUUGGACAAUGGGCGAAAGCCUGAUCCAGCCAUACCGCGUGGGUGAAGAAGGCCUUCGGGUUGUAAAGCCCUUUUGUUGGGAAAGAAAAGCAGCAGGUUAAUACCCCGCUGUUCUGACGGUACUCAAAGAAUAAGCACCGGCUAACUUCGUG
This 492-nucleotide ribosomal RNA is filed under the name uncultured bacterium. Its description in RNAcentral is "partial 16S ribosomal RNA". It matches the Rfam family "Bacterial small subunit ribosomal RNA", at positions 29 to 507 of the family's 1533-position model. The record is from RNAcentral.